ACCUACUGUUUAAUUUUGAGGGUUCGUUUUUACGAAUGCUCAAAAUUAGCACUUUAAGCAACGGGAUUUAUCCGUUGGCGCUGUGCGUUAGCACUUUGAAAACUGCAUAUAUAUAUUUAGUGAUAUGACACCUAAUUUGUAAUAUAAAGCUGAUAACUUUUUAAAAUUAUCGAAGUUGAUAGCUUCUAAUCUAUCAAACCUUUUUAACUGGUCAA
This 215-nucleotide unclassified non-coding RNA is filed under the name Clostridioides difficile. Its description in RNAcentral is "16S-23S ribosomal RNA intergenic spacer (ISR)". Lineage: Bacteria; Bacillati; Bacillota; Clostridia; Peptostreptococcales; Peptostreptococcaceae. The record is from RNAcentral.